CGCCAGACUCCUACGGGAGGCAGCAGUGGGGAAUAUUGCACAAUGGGGGAAACCCUGAUGCAGCAACGCCGCGUGAGUGAAGAAGUCAUUCGUGAUGUAAAGCUCUCUCAGCAGGGAAGAAAAUGACGGUACCUGAGUAAGAAGCCCCGGCUAACUCCGUGCCAGCAGCCGCGGUAAUACGGAGGGUGCAAGCGUUACUCGGAAUCACUGGGCGUAAAGAGCGCGUAGGCGGGGUAGCAAGUCAGAUGUGAAAUCCUAUGGCUUAACCAUAGAACUGCAUUUGAAACUGUUAUUCUAGAGUAUGGGAGAGGUAGGUGGAAUUCUUGGUGUAGGGGUAAAAUCCGUAGAGAUCAAGAGGAAUACUCAUUGCGAAGGCGACCUGCUAGAACAUAACUGACGCUGAUGCGCGAAAGCGUGGGGAGCAAACAGGAUUAGAUACCCUCGUAAA
RNAcentral lists this ribosomal RNA (448 nucleotides) under uncultured bacterium. Its description in RNAcentral is "bacterial SSU rRNA". It matches the Rfam family "Bacterial small subunit ribosomal RNA", at positions 329 to 794 of the family's 1533-position model. The record is from RNAcentral.